RNAcentral lists this ribosomal RNA (253 nucleotides) under uncultured bacterium. Its description in RNAcentral is "partial 16S ribosomal RNA". It matches the Rfam family "Bacterial small subunit ribosomal RNA", at positions 524 to 776 of the family's 1533-position model. The record is from RNAcentral.
UACGGAGGGUGCGAGCGUUGUCCGGAAUCACUGGGCGUAAAGGGCGCGUAGGCGGUCUGCUAAGCGUGCGGUGAAAGCCUGGGGCUCAACCCCAGGUCUGCCGUGCGAACUGGUGGACUAGAGCACUGUAGAGGCAGGUGGAAUUCCGGGUGUAGCGGUGGAAUGCGUAGAGAUCCGGAAGAACACCGGUGGCGAAGGCGGCCUGCUGGGCAGUAGCUGACGCUGAGGCGCGACAGCGUGGGGAGCAAACAGG